AAAAGAAACUAACAAGGAUUCCCCUAGUAACUGCGAGUGAAGCGGGAAAAGCUCAAAUUUAAAAUCUGGCGUGCCUCCGGUCGCCCGAGUUGUAGUCUGGAGAAGCGUUUUCCGUGCUGGACCGUGUACAAGUCCCUUGGAACAGGGCGUCGUAGAGGGUGAGAAUCCCGUCUUUGACACGGACUACCAGUGCUCUGUGAUGCGCUCUCAAAGAGUCGAGUUGUUUGGGAAUGCAGCUCAAAAUGGGUGGUAAAUUCCAUCUAAAGCUAAAUACAGGCGAGAGACCGAUAGCGAACAAGUACCGUGAGGGAAAGAUGAAAAGCACUUUGGAAAGAGAGUUAAACAGUACGUGAAAUUGCUGAAAGGGAAACGCUUGAAGUCAGUCGCGUCUGCCGGGACUCAGCCUUGCUUUUGCUUGGUGCACUUUCUGGUGGAUGGGCCAGCAUCAAUCUUGACCGCCGGAGAAAGGCGGAGGGAAUGUGGCACCUUCGGGUGUGUUAUAGCCCUCCGUUGUAUACGACGGUUGGGAUCGAGGACUGCAGCACGCCUUUAUGGCCGGGGUUCGCCCACGUACGUGCUUAGGAUGCUGGCAUAAUGGCUUUAAGCGACCCGUCUUGAAACACGGACCAAGGAGUCUAACAUGCCUGCGAGUGUUUGGGUGGAAAACCCGAGCGCGUAAUGAAAGUGAUAGUUGAGACCUCUGUCAUGGAGGGCAUCGACGCCCGGACUUGAUCUACGGAGACGGUUCCGCGGUAGAGCAUGUAUGUUGGGACCCGAAAGAUGGUGAACUAUGCCUGAAUAGGGUGAAGCCAGAGGAAACUCUGGUGGAGGCUCGUAGCGAUUCUGACGUGCAAAUCGAUCGUCAAAUUUGGGUAUAGGGGGCGAAAGACUAAUCGAACCAUCUAGUAGCUG
Molecule: ribosomal RNA, 912 nt
Filed under: Amaurodon caeruleocaseus
Lineage: Eukaryota; Fungi; Basidiomycota; Agaricomycetes; Thelephorales; Thelephoraceae
Description: partial large subunit ribosomal RNA
Rfam family: Eukaryotic large subunit ribosomal RNA
Source: RNAcentral